AUCAGGGCAAAGGCUAAGUAGAGUCCACAUGGAAGAUUGUCAAAUAUUUUCCUAAAAGUAAGUCAAAAACCUCAGCAUAUAUAAUAAAAAUAUAAACAAAUAUUUUGGUACAUAUAUAAAUACAAAAUUUAGGCUGCACCUAUCUUUAGUAUCACCCUCUUCUCCUUUUCAAUUCUUGUUGUGGUUUCACCCAAAAUUCUUUCCUUGGAUUCUUAGCUUUCUCAAACUACCCAACUCCAGCUUUCAAGAUUGUGAUUUUUGAAAGCAACUCUUUAAUUUCCAAUUAUUUCCCAAUCAAGAAAAAUAUUCAGAAAAAAGUGAGUAUGAUAAAAGUAGGGAUGAUGGUGGAAUUAUUGGAAGAAUAUGGAAUUGUGAUAUCAAGAAUGAGAGAGCAGCUCUUUCUCCCAAGGCGUUUGCAAUUUCCUUUGUUUUUUCAGAGUUUUCGUUCCUCUGCAGAUACAGAUUCUUCCUCUUUCCUCGUCUACUUCUAGUUUGUUUAAAUUCUAUACGAACAAUUUUUUUUAUUUGAUUUUUAAUUACCAGAUAGGGAAUUUCAUUUCUGCUAUAUUGGUCGACUUGAAUCUUUGUUAAGUUAUAGCUUCAUAUAUACGUGUAAUGCGAGGAGAUUUUUGUGUUUCUUUCCAAUACAAAUGUAUACUUCGAAUCUUGGAGUGUGCAUCACUAUAGAUGAUGAUUCAUUUUCUUCAAAUGAACAGAAAGAUGUUUAUACUUUAUCUUCGUUUCAUUGUUUUGGGGUGCUUAUUUUUAUGAGCCAAUUAAAUGCCAUAUUGAAUUUUGUUUGGUAAAUUGAUAUUGUAUAGUCGUUCUUAAAAUUCGUCUUCUUGUUCUACUGGAUAGUUCAGUUCAAAAUUUAGAAAUUGAGUAUAACGAAAACGAAUAUUUUUUUGGGCUUUUCAUUCGCUGUUCGAUACCUACAUCGGGGUCGAUUAAAUUCGGAUUCGCG
RNAcentral lists this long non-coding RNA (964 nucleotides) under Nicotiana benthamiana. Its description in RNAcentral is "long non-coding RNA (NBEN_LNC041912)". Lineage: Eukaryota; Viridiplantae; Streptophyta; Magnoliopsida; Solanales; Solanaceae. The record is from RNAcentral.